Molecule: unclassified non-coding RNA, 732 nt
Filed under: Hevea brasiliensis (rubber tree)
Lineage: Eukaryota; Viridiplantae; Streptophyta; Magnoliopsida; Malpighiales; Euphorbiaceae
Source: RNAcentral
AUUGCUUUAUGUCUAUCAACUCACCAUACCAAGUGAUGCAUCCACUUCCUCCGGCACUAAUAUUAGCACUUGCAUAGGCUGUGCAGGAGCAAUUCUUCAGACACAACUCUUCACAGUCCUUCAAUCCCAUGCUCUUGUUCAUCCGAGCUGCACCCGUGUCGGGGAUCUUCACAUGACUUAAUGUGACAAACCCUUCACCACUGUUGCACACCUCUUCAUUUUUCUUCCUCAAACAUCCAUGAGAGCCAUCUCUUAAGAACCAUUGUCGGCUUAGCUUUGGUUCGUACCCUGGAAGACAACUGCAUUCGAAUUCAGCCAAAUUGAGCAGAUUGCAAUUGCUAAAUGCUCCACAAUGUUCAUAAUUGUCACAAGGGUCUUUAGGGGCAGACCAGAAUUGCACCCACUUUCGCUCACUCUCUUGCCAAGUUAACCGGUUCACGAUCCCAGAUUCAUUCAGGACCAUUCUUGAGAUUAUUGAACUGUCAUGUAUGCCAUAUGUCAAGGAAACCUCGGUAUCAUUGUCUACAUAACUAAGGCUGAAGAUGAAUCGCGGGCUCAUUUCUGGUACACCACUCCAACCAUGACCCGUCCAGGAUCCUGUCCGCCAAAUCCUGCUAGAGUUCUUGUACAAGAAAACUUGAGGUGUCCCAUUGAGCUCCAUUGUGUAACGAUACUCUCCAGUGCCUGGAUCGAUCAACGAUUUCCAUGAUGUCAGAAACCGGUUCAAUCCCG